CUUGACUGUAGCCUGGAAUUGGGUUCGGGCUUUUCUUGCGCAGCCUAGGUGGGAGGCUAUGAAGAUUUCCUUCCGGGGAAGUUGGAGCCAACAGUGAGAGACCACUCUGGCAAGGCUAGAAUCCUCAUGGUGAUCCUUGAAUCAGGAAACUUGACAGUUUCAGGCGGGCAGUUUUUCUGGGGCAGAAACCUCAUAAAAGGUAACUGAGGUGCGCAAAGGUUCCCUCAGUCUGGACGGAAAUCAGACAUUGAGUGUAAAGGCAAAAGGGAGCUUGACUGCAAGACCCACAAGUCGAGCAGGAGCGAAAGCUGGCCUUAGUGAUCCGACGGUGCCGUGUGGAAGGGCCGUCGCUCAACGAAUAAAAGUUA
This 368-nucleotide ribosomal RNA is filed under the name uncultured organism. RNAcentral's name for it is "bacterial LSU rRNA". It matches the Rfam family "Bacterial large subunit ribosomal RNA", at positions 2099 to 2465 of the family's 2925-position model. The record is from RNAcentral.